UGGGGAAUAUUGGACAAUGGGCGCAAGCCUGAUCCAGCCAUACCGCGUGGGUGAAGAAGGCCUUCGGGUUGUAAAGCCCUUUUGUUGGGAAAGAAAUCCAGCUGGUUAAUACCCGGUUGGGAUGACGGUACCCAAAGAAUAAGCACCGGCUAACUUCGUGCCAGCAGCCGCGGUAAUACGAAGGGUGCAAGCGUUACUCGGAAUUACUGGGCGUAAAGCGUGCGUAGGUGGUCGUUUAAGUCUGUUGUGAAAGCCCUGGGCUCAACCUGGGAACUGCAGUGGAAACUGGACGACUAGAGUGUGGUAGAGGGUAGCGGAAUUCCUGGUGUAGCAGUGAAAUGCGUAGAGAUCAGGAGGAACAUCCAUGGCGAAGGCAGCUACCUGGACCAACACUGACACUGAGGCACGAAAGCGUGGGGAGCAAACAGGAUUAGAUACCCUGGUAGUCCACGCCCUAAACGAUGCGAACUGGACGUUGGGUGCAAUUUUGGCACGCAGUAUCGAAGCUAACGCGUUAAGUUCGCCGCCUGGGGAGUACGGUCGCAAGACUGAAACUUAAAU
This 561-nucleotide ribosomal RNA is filed under the name uncultured bacterium. RNAcentral describes it as "partial 16S ribosomal RNA". It matches the Rfam family "Bacterial small subunit ribosomal RNA", at positions 355 to 906 of the family's 1533-position model. The record is from RNAcentral.